AGGACUCCAGUUACCCGAGGAACAGAAGGUUCGCAACUCUCGGAGUACGUGAGAGAACGCAUCGGAAUCCAGUAUGGAUGCAGGUACUGUGCACUGGUGACGGGACAAUGGCGGACGGAGCUGGGUGUGCGGAACAAGUUUGGUAAACCGCCUUCUGGGCUUUAUUCUGCUUUUUAUUUCUCGAACUUUGUGUCCCGGAAUUCUUGGGUCAAACGCGGUUAAAUUCCUAGUCCUUAAAUCUUGUGCCUCCUGAGUGAGCAUUCAUUUCAAGUCUGGACGAACAAAAUGAUUUUUGGGCAACUCAAAGAUUUUCACCUCAAAAA
Long non-coding RNA from Rosa rugosa (rugosa rose), 323 nucleotides. RefSeq lists it as uncharacterized. The record is from RefSeq and is a predicted model, not a curated record. NCBI's taxonomy places the organism in Eukaryota, Viridiplantae, Streptophyta, Magnoliopsida, Rosales, Rosaceae. The transcript is spliced from 2 exons.